Hippocampus comes (tiger tail seahorse) is the source of this 1396-nucleotide RNA transcript. RefSeq lists it as uncharacterized. The record is from RefSeq and is a predicted model, not a curated record. The transcript is spliced from 6 exons. Lineage: Eukaryota; Metazoa; Chordata; Actinopteri; Syngnathiformes; Syngnathidae.
UUGCUGAAGAGAUUUGAACAUUUUUGAAUGACUUUUUUGACUGACUCAGUCCUUUUCACUCCUCUUUGACAUCGACAGAAAUCAAUGGGUUUUCUUGGACUCUGGUGACAAUGAUCCAGAGCUAUUUUGAAGCAACAGUUCGGAUGCCAGACUACACUACAGUAUCUGAAACACCACCAUGCGGAAAACAGCUAAGUCCCAUGUUAUCAUGGGGCAAUUGAGACCAGUUUGAACUUAACAGCUAUUAAAAGGUCAAGCACUACAGUUGUGGUGCAAGUCGAACUCUCUAAAGUUCCUGUGGCAAGCUACGGAGGUCACCAGUCAGCGUGUCCGACAGGCCCAUGAAUAAGAGAGGACUGUUAUCUGUCCCGCCUCACCUGGGGACAUUGCAAGAUGAAACAAAUGGGGAAAGUCAGCACAGAUCAAUAAAGGAUGGACACUUGAAAGACUUUGCAGAGGAAGCAGAGAUGCUGCGCGAUUGCCCUUUCAGCUCAGCUCAGCCUCACAACGACAUUGUUACGUCGGCCUCAAUAAGAAAUGCGAUUGGAGGCCACAGGUGAGGACAGAGAUAAUGACCUCAUUCCUCUUCUCUGUGUCCAAGAUGUGUUCUUUCCAGGCCGGACAAUUCAUCACACCAUCUCUUCAUCUCUGGCGCCCAUCCUUUCGCUCAUCCUCCUUCCUGUUGGUCAAAAAGCCAGAAGUCACAUCUUCAUCCACAGUGACAUGACCACUCACACAUAAAGAAAUGUUCUCUUGUGUGUGUGUGUGUGUGUGUGUGUGUGUGUGUGUGUGUGUGUGUGUGUGUGUGUGUGUGUGUGUGUGUGUGUGUGUGUUUGACGCCUCUGGCACAUGAUGCAGUCCGAUGGGACCUUUAAAGUCCAAAUCCCUCCGUUCAGGGUUGCUGAACUAUUUCUCCCAAAUGAACUAAAACAAUCAUUUAUUAGCUUCUAGAUUUUCUCCUCAAUCACCAAAUGCAUGUAACCACAUAUAGAUUACAAAUUUGGUUGUUUGUUAACAGUUGCCCUCCGAUUUGACUGUCGACCUGCUCAGAGUGUGCUCUGCCUCUGGCCAAAAGUCAGCUUGGAUAAGAUCCAGCUUAUCUGUGAUCCUGAAAAGGACAAAGAGUUGACAAUGCAUGGUUGGUAUACCUGUACGCUUCCAUUUUAUCAUUCUCACCAGUGUCCAAAUAACUUUACAUUAUAACAAUACACUCACAUUAGAACAACAAAGGCUGUGUAUGAACAUCCCCCUAACCUCAUAUUCAUUAUAUAAUCCCACACGAGUAACCAACAUAUUAAUUUCCUCAGCUAACUACUUGCUCCUCAUCACAUAUCACGUGGCGAAUUAAGAUCUCCGACUAAUUAUUGUCAAUAACAAAUAUUGAUUUAAAACUGUA